AUUUGAAGUACAUACAAGGGAAAAUCAGCUCUUCCCCAAAUUAUUUUGCCUUGCACCUCUAAAAAUGCUAAAACUGCCCCUUGGUAGGAUUAUCGAGUAGACAUGUACGUUUAAAUAACCUCUUAUCUCAGUAACUUCCAUGAAACUUGGCCGGGAAAAAAUAGACUGGCACUGAUUAAUUGGAUCUAUGCUUUUCUGACAGCUCUGGAGUUGGUGAUUGAAUGAAUCCUGCCAAAG
This is a non-coding RNA of Pelobates cultripes (western spadefoot toad), 237 nucleotides long. The record is from the annotation of a GenBank genome assembly. NCBI's taxonomy places the organism in Eukaryota, Metazoa, Chordata, Amphibia, Anura, Pelobatidae.